Molecule: long non-coding RNA, 241 nt
Filed under: Monodelphis domestica (gray short-tailed opossum)
Lineage: Eukaryota; Metazoa; Chordata; Mammalia; Didelphimorphia; Didelphidae
Description: lncRNA (ENSMODG00000039209.1)
Source: RNAcentral
GGUGUUCUUUCCUCUGGCUACAAUUAGCUUCCACAUUGCAGGGGACCUUGGGGGUUGGGGGGUGAGGAGAAAGAAGAGAGUUUUCCAAAGCAAGUUAAUCACAAUGGAUCAUGGCCAUGGUAUGAAGAGGAAAUGGAUAUCAUUUUGAAAGCGAACUGUUUGGAGAGAAGGCACCAUGAAGAUUCCUCCACAAACCACACACUGAAGCAGAAGAUCCAGAGUGAAUUUUGGGAUGUGGUCA